UGACUCUUAAGGCCGAGAACACAGUGGGU
Molecule: non-coding RNA, 29 nt
Filed under: Rattus norvegicus (Norway rat)
Lineage: Eukaryota; Metazoa; Chordata; Mammalia; Rodentia; Muridae
Source: RNAcentral